GGCACCUGAAUUAUGUUUUUCAAUCGAUUUUAUGAACUUUUUCCUUUUAAAGCUUUUUUUAUUUCUAUUUUUUUCUAGCAAUCUGAUUAUGUUUCUAAUUUUUGGUCUGAUAUGAAAACUCUGUAAAAAAAUUAAUAUUUGGCUACUAAAGAUCCGACUUUACGUGUGGUAUUUUUUACCUCAAUUUCUUUAAUUCCUAACCAAACACAAUUCUUUUUUUGCAUUUGUGUACAUAAACUUCAACCAUUGGUAAAUUCGGCAAGAUACGAAACUUUCAAUUUCUAAAAACAUUCUCAUUCCAAUAUUUUAAUAAUAUGUGAAUCUUAAUAAUUUUAGAAUUUAUU
RNAcentral lists this long non-coding RNA (344 nucleotides) under Brassica rapa (field mustard). Its description in RNAcentral is "long non-coding RNA (BRAP_LNC005238)". The record is from RNAcentral. Lineage: Eukaryota; Viridiplantae; Streptophyta; Magnoliopsida; Brassicales; Brassicaceae.